RNAcentral lists this long non-coding RNA (949 nucleotides) under Calidris pygmaea (Spoon-billed sandpiper). Its description in RNAcentral is "lncRNA (ENSCPGG00000016823.1)". Lineage: Eukaryota; Metazoa; Chordata; Aves; Charadriiformes; Scolopacidae. The record is from RNAcentral.
GCUGGGGUGACGCAGGGGGCUGGGGGGUGCCGGGUUGAUGUGGGGGUGACGUGGGGAGGCUGGGGUGAUGUGGGGGGACCGGGGGUGACGCGGCGGGGGGGGCCGUGCCCAGGUCCAGGCCCACGUGUGGGUGAAGGGGGGCUGCGAGGCCAGCAAGUGCGGCAAGUGCCAGAAGAAGAUCAAGAGCUUCCAGAGCCUGACGGGGCUGCACUGCGUCUGGUGCCACCUCAAGGUGGGCACGUCCCUGUCCCCGAGGGGGUGGGGGACCCCCCCCCCCACCAUGGCCCCCCUCCCCAGCCCCCCCCCCUCACCCCGCUCUGUCCCCAGAUCCACGAGGAAUGCCAGCCCCUCGUGCCCCCCGCCUGCGACUGCGGGGUCCUGCGGGACCACAUCCUGCCCCCCGCCGCCAUCUACCCCGUCCUGCUGGAGCGGCAGGACAGCCAGCGGGACGGCAGCGGGACGCCGGUGGAGGAGACGCCACAGGUCUUCACCACCCCCGAGGGCCAGGCGCUGCGGGUGAGCCGUGUCCCCCCCCCUUCCCCGUGUGUUUGUGUGUCUCCCCACACACACCGUGUCCCCCCACUCCGUCCCGCAGCCCUCACACCCCCCCCACCUCACCCCCCCCGCAGGUCAGCCCCGUGCCCGACACCCACCCGCUCCUCGUCUUUGUCAACCCCAAGAGCGGAGGGAAGCAGGGGGAGAGGUAAGGGGGGGGGGGGGUCUGGGGGGACUGAGGGGACUCAUUCUAGUGGCCCAGUGGGGGGGGGCAGCCACCUGCCCCCCUCCAGCCCCCCCAGCUCCCCUUUCCCCCCCCCCCAGGGUGCUGCGCAAGUUCCAGUAUCUGCUCAACCCCCGGCAGGUCUAUAACCUGCUGCAGGGAGGACCCACCCCCGGGUGAGUGGGGCUUGGGGGGGGCCACUGGGGUGUCCAGGUGGGGUGGGGCCCAAAC